CCAAAAUCAAAUGACAAAAAAAGGAGCGAGUGUAUGUUUUCGUUUGGUACGAGGUUUACCACAUCAGUUGGGUUUUUCCCUUGCGUUUCAGAGUGAGUGGGUUUUUUCGUCUUCGAAUUUUUAUUUGUUUCAUAGGAAGCAGCAAGACAUCCGUGGGUUCCUGAUGUAAAUCCCAAAUGAGCAAAAAGGCCUUUCCUUUCUUCUUCUUUGUCAUUUUCCUUUUUAUCUUUUAUUUCUUUGGAUUCCGAUCAGAUCCUCCUAAAUAAUUCCCAAUUAUUCCUUUUCGCACAGUUGAUAGAUCUGUUGGGUGGGCAGUGAAAGCUUGGUGAAUGGGGUUUCAGACUAUGGCUUCUCAAGGUAACGGCCAGCAGUCUCAUUUUCAGCCGUCUCCAUUGUUGAGGCAGCCCUCAUGGUAUAGCCUCACUCUUGAUGAAGUUAAAAAUCAAUUAGGAGACACGGGAAAGCCACUGGGCAGCAUGAAUCUUGACGAGCUUCUACAGAACUUAUGGACUGCUGAAGCAAAUCAAUCCAUUGAGAUGGAUAUUGAGAACACCUCCUCAGCAUCUUCACUCCAACGUCAGGCCAGCUUAACAUUGGCUAGAGCUUUGAGUGGGAAGACGGUUGAUGAGGUAUGGAGAGAGAUCCAGCAAGGGCAGAAGAAAAGGUAUGGGGAGGACAUGAAAUGUCAGGAUACUGAGAUAACACUCGGUGAAACAACUCUAGAAGACUUCUUGGUACAAGCAGGACUUUUUGCAGAAGCUUCUUUGAGUCCUGCUAUUGCAUUGGAUACUAUUGAAGUGGCCAUCCCUCAGAGUUAUCCACAUAACCUGGGGUUAUCGUCAUCCCCAUCAUUUGGUACACAUUCGGAUACAACGACGCCCGGGCGUAAAAGGGAUGCAUCAGAUGCAUAUGAGAAGACUGUUGAGAGAAGAUUAAGGAGAAAAAUCAAGAACAGAGAAUCUGCUGCACGUUCACGUGCUAGAAAGCAGGCAUAUCAUAAUGAGUUGGUGAGCAAAGUUUCGCGUCUAGAAGAGGAGAACAUAAAGCUCAAGAAAGAGAAGAAGAAAAUUACAAAGAAAUGUGAUGUGGAUACCAUGGUGGGACUCCUUGAAUUUUAUUUUGGAGGUGACAUUUUGAGAGAUGGAGGAAAGUAGUUCCGUGGUUGACAAAUUUUGGAGUUGAAGUCGGUGACCCACUUUGACCUUUUUUUGUAUACCUUAGUGGUUGACACUUUAAGUGGUUCAGUGGAUAUUGCAAAGGAGCUUCAGCCAGUAGAGAGACUAUUAAUUGGUAGGAAAGUUUACAAGUUUCUCAUUUGCAAAUUCUCAGUGAUACAGGGUAAUUAUGAAUCUGACAGUUGAGCCUUUUUUAUGCAUUAUUUGGUUUUACAGUAAAUAGGUCUAAAAGUUGAAUUAGCAAGAACCAAAAUUGGAGGCUGCAGGUUGUGUAGUUGACCUAUGAAUAGUUGUUCAGCAGCAGUCCGUGCACUCUUACUUUUUGGGAUCCAAUUGUGGAGAAAGUAGAGAAGAGGUUGGAAGAGUGGAAAACAGCAUAUUUCUAGAGGAUGUGCUUACAAUUAUAAGCAAGUGGCCAAAAGCUUAGAGAAACUAAUGAAAAUUUUUUGUGGAAAGGUUUUGGAGAAAGGAAUAGAAUUCAUUUGGUAAAAGUGGGAAAUUUGGUUUUGUUGCCAUGAGAAGGGUGGUUUUGGGAUGGGUAAUUUGGACAUGAUGUGACUGCUUGGGAAGUGGUUGGGGAGAGUUCCUUCGGAAAGGGUACUUUUGGCAUUACCAGCAUUAAACCAAAUAUGCCUUGCAUGUGAAGGGUACCUUUCGGAAGUGGUUGGGUUAUGCCUUACAUGUCAAUGGCUAGGGAUUCUAAUAUAGUGGAAUAAGAAUGGAUAGGAAGAAAAAAGAGAUCCGGACUCAUCCCGGUCUUUGGCAUCACACCAAAGGUUUCCAGUAGAGAAAUUAGAAAAUUCCGGCAUCGCACUGGCCUUUGACGUCACACUGAAGGUGCCUUGGAAUCACUCUCCAAGUCAACCUGUGCCUCACACACAAGCAGAAUUUGAGAAGAUGUUGCCAUCUGCAUUAUCAGCGGAACCAAAAUAUCAGCUUCGAAGAAUAAGUUCAGCCUUUUUCUGAGUUGUCUCUGCACCCAGCA
This is an RNA transcript of Prunus persica (peach), 2160 nucleotides long. It is a transcript of the gene named ABSCISIC ACID-INSENSITIVE 5-like protein 2, with no coding region annotated. NCBI's taxonomy places the organism in Eukaryota, Viridiplantae, Streptophyta, Magnoliopsida, Rosales, Rosaceae. The transcript is spliced from 6 exons. The record is from RefSeq and is a predicted model, not a curated record.